This 492-nucleotide ribosomal RNA is filed under the name uncultured bacterium. RNAcentral's name for it is "partial 16S ribosomal RNA". It matches the Rfam family "Bacterial small subunit ribosomal RNA", at positions 28 to 507 of the family's 1533-position model. The record is from RNAcentral.
GAUGAACGCUAGCUACAGGCUUAACACAUGCAAGUCGAGGGGAAACGACAUCGAAAGCUUGCUUUUGAUGGGCGUCGACCGGCGCACGGGUGAGUAACGCGUAUCCAACCUGCCCAUCACUUGGGGAUAACCUUGCGAAAGUAAGACUAAUACCCAAUGAUAUCUCUAGAAGACAUCUGAAAGAGAUUAAAGAUUUAUCGGUGAUGGAUGGGGAUGCGUCUGAUUAGCUUGUUGGCGGGGUAACGGCCCACCAAGGCAACGAUCAGUAGGGGUUCUGAGAGGAAGGUCCCGCACAGUGGAACUGAGACGCGAUCCAAACUCCUACGGCAGGCAGCAGUGAGGAAUAUUGAUCAAUGGGCGAGAGACUGAACCAGCCAAGUAGCGUGCAGGAAGACGGCCCUAUGGGUUGUAAACUGCUUUUAUAAGGGAAUAAAGUGAGAGUCGUGACUCUUUUUGUAUGUACCUUAUGAAUAAGGACCGGCUAAUUCCGUG